RNAcentral lists this ribosomal RNA (373 nucleotides) under uncultured bacterium. Its description in RNAcentral is "bacterial SSU rRNA". It matches the Rfam family "Bacterial small subunit ribosomal RNA", at positions 521 to 896 of the family's 1533-position model. The record is from RNAcentral.
UAAUACGGAGGGUGCAAGCGUUGUCCGGAUUUAUUGGGUUUAAAGGGUGCGUAGGCGGCUAUUUAAGUCAGUGGUGAAAUCCUGCAGCUUAACUGUAGAAUUGCCAUUGAUACUGGAUAGCUUGAGUACAGACGAGGUAGGCGGAAUUUAUGGUGUAGCGGUGAAAUGCAUAGAUACCAUAAAGAACACCUAUUGCGAAGGCAGCUUACUAGGCUGUAACUGACGCUGAGGCACGAAAGUGUGGGGAUCAAACAGGAUUAGAUACCCUGGUAGUCCACACUGUAAACGAUGAUUACUCGAUGUUCGCGAUAUACUGUGAGCGUCCAAGCGAAAGCGUUAAGUAAUCCACCUGGGAAGUACGAUCGCAAGAUUG